Molecule: long non-coding RNA, 2261 nt
Organism: Hemicordylus capensis (graceful crag lizard)
Lineage: Eukaryota; Metazoa; Chordata; Lepidosauria; Squamata; Cordylidae
Exons: 3
Source: RefSeq, a predicted model, not a curated record
AAAAGGUGCCUCUUUGAUCCAUAUAGUUUGAUCCAUAUAGAAGAAACUUGACACUGAUCCAGUGACUUCUGUUCAGCAAGAUAUGCCUCUUACACAUUAGGGGGGGAUCUGUCUACAUUGGGCAAGUUUGUAUUAACACCAAGGGACACCAAAACAAUUUUCCGAAGAAGCUAAAAGUACUGGAUGUGUCAUACAAUGACAUUGUUACUCAAUGAGGUGCUCCACAUCUCCUGUGUUCUUUUUGUUACAGCAAACCAACAUGGUUACCUCUCUGAAAUUUGCUGCUGGAUGGGAUGCUUGAGGCUGAAUCCUUUGAGGAAUUGGGUGAAUUUUGGAUGCUUUGUUAUCUACUCCACACAGCACACUGAAAGACUAUAGAAUAACUUAUCCUCCAUGCACCCUGCGAUGAGAAUGCCCCAGCAACUUUCCAGAGACUGGUCAACCAGUUGCUAAAUGGGCCAUGCCAUUUUGCCCUUGCAUGUCUGGAUGACAUUGCGAUUUUCAGCUCUGGGACGAACAAUUGUUCAUAUGCCUCAGACCAGGGCCUAGGAGCUUUUCUGCUGCAAGAUGAUGCAACUAGAGAGCUACAUCCCAUUGCCUAUCUACAGCCGGAAGUUUCAACCCUGAGAGCAGCAGAACUAUGCCACAGUUGAGAAAGAGUGCCUUGCCAUUGUUUGGGCCCUCACCAAGCGUCAACUCUACGUGUGGGGGAGAAGGUUCACCUUGUAAACAGACCACUCCCCUCUUUGUCGGCUAGACAAGGCUAAAGGAACCAAUGCGAGAUUGUUGCAUUAGUUUUUGGCUCUACAAGACUCUGACUUUGAAACAAAGCACCUCAAGGGAAAGGACAAUGUGGCUUCUGACUCUUUGUCCCAAAGGCCUAUCUAAGGCCUCUUUUGUCACAAGAACCUACCAAAUAAGGUCCCCACUUGUUUGCUAUGUAUGAAAUAAUAUACCUGUAUGGCCAUCCAAAGAACUAUGUAUUGCCUUGUAUUCAAAUUGCCUCCCAAAAUGUGUAGCUAAUUAGUGUGCAUGCAUUAUUAUGCGAUGUAAUGGACCAUGAUAGUAGAAAGACUUUGAAUUUCCUGUUCAGGUUGAUGGGCGUGUUCAGAAGAGAACAGUGUCCCGAUCUGAAGAUAAGCGGAGAGGAAUGUGACAAAACACAGACCUCCAUCUUAGCUCAAGAAUGUCUUACACUCCACCCUGAGUGCUCUGAAUGGGGGACAUGCCUCCCUUUUAUCACUGAAUGAGGACAAUCUCUUACUUUUGCCGCUGAAGAGACAGGGCCAUCAAGGUACAGGCCUAAACCCUUUUCCAGAAUAGGUAACUGACUCAAACCAGACCCACCUUUAGACAAGUAAGUUUAGGUCCACUAAAGAGGAGGAAUCUCCAGUCUGAAGGGAAAAUCUCAAAUCCCAACUGGCCCCAAACCAGCAUGACAUCAGAGAUGUGUCAGGCCUUCUCAUUGGAUCCAAGAGCUGCGUAUCUUAGGAAGAGGAGGACAACCUUCCCCCUCCAUAAUGGCUAUAAAAAUAGAAGGCAAGGGCCAGGGGUGUAGCAAGGUUGGAGUGGGCCCAGAGACAAGAUUUUAAAAUGCCCCCCUCCCUCACUGAAGUAAAGAAAUCUUUAGCUCAUGAAGUAAAGAAAUCUUAAAUGGGGCUGAAUAGUGGUAACAAAAAGCAGAGUAAAAUGUAUAUAUCUAUGUGCCACAAUAGAUGGUACUAGAGAAAGUCAUGCUGUUUUGGUAGCUCCAGGUCUUAACACUCACAUCAGUUUAGGAGGAUGAAUACAACUGAAGGAAGCCUGGGCGGGUGCGCGGCUGGGGGAGUCAGUCAUGUGACUUGCCUCUGAGGGGGCCCCCCAAGGCAGGGGGCCCCCAGACAACUGUCUCCCCUUGCCCUAUCAUAGUUACGCCCCUGGCAAGGGCCUGGCCAGCGUUCACCAUUUUCCUUCUGCUAAUGAGUGUUCCAGGGAGAAGCUGUAGAGAUUAAUGCUCUCUCGGCCAAGGAUUGCUAGACUAAGGUAAAACUCAAUGCUCAGUUAGUUAGUUCAUUCAUUCAUAGUUUUUGUAUUUUCUUUUGAAUUCCUGUGUACUUUUCUUUACUUCCAGUUUUCCCUAUUUUCCCCAAUUCCUUAUUCUGUGUGCAAACCUUGCUUCUUUAUACAUGUCAUAUAUUUAGAAGUGGCUUCAGUCUGGUUUAAAAGGUUCUGGAGGGUUACUUGCAAACUCUUCUCCAUGUGCCUGGUAAAGUCAUGCACUA